Molecule: ribosomal RNA, 106 nt
Filed under: uncultured bacterium
Lineage: Bacteria
Description: partial 16S ribosomal RNA
Rfam family: Bacterial small subunit ribosomal RNA
Source: RNAcentral
CCUUGUACACACCGCCCGUCACACCAUGGGAGUGGGCUGUACCAGAAGUGGCUAGUUUAACCUGCAAAGGGGGACGGUCCCCACGGUAUGGUUCAUGACUGGGGUG